AGUGAACGCUGGCGGUAGGCCUAACACAUGCAAGUCGAACGGCAGCACAGUAAGAGCUUGCUCUUACGGGUGGCGAGUGGCGGACGGGUGAGGAAUACAUCGGAAUCUACUUUUUCGUGGGGGAUAACGUAGGGAAACUUACGCUAAUACCGCAUACGACCUGCGGGUGAAAGCAGGGGAUCUUCGGACCUUGCGCGAUUGAAUGAGCCGAUGUCGGAUUAGCUAGUUGGCGGGGUAAAGGCCCACCAAGGCGACGAUCCGUAGCUGGUCUGAGAGGAUGAUCAGCCACACUGGAACUGAGACACGGUCCAGACUCCUACGGGAGGCAGCAGUGGGGAAUAUUGGACAAUGGGCGCAAGCCUGAUCCAGCCAUACCGCGUGGGUGAAGAAGGCCUUCGGGUUGUAAAGCCCUUUUGUCGGGAAAGAAAAGCAGCAGGUUAAUACCCCGCUGUUCUGACGGUACCCAAAGAAUAAGCACCGGCUAACUUCGUG
This 492-nucleotide ribosomal RNA is filed under the name uncultured bacterium. RNAcentral describes it as "partial 16S ribosomal RNA". It matches the Rfam family "Bacterial small subunit ribosomal RNA", at positions 29 to 507 of the family's 1533-position model. The record is from RNAcentral.